RNAcentral lists this ribosomal RNA (612 nucleotides) under Triticum aestivum (bread wheat). RNAcentral's name for it is "partial small subunit ribosomal RNA". The record is from RNAcentral. Lineage: Eukaryota; Viridiplantae; Streptophyta; Magnoliopsida; Poales; Poaceae.
AUGUCUGGCGGCAAUCCUGCAGGUGUGGAUAACACUUUCCGUAGGAAAUUUGACAAGGAGGAGUACUUGGAGCGAGCUCGACAGAGAGAGCGGGAUGAGAAGGAUGAAGCCCGGAGAGGCAAGGACAGGGGCCCUCCUGUGCAAAGACAGCCUUUGAAGCAUAGGGAUUAUGAAGUUGAUCUUGAGUCUCGUCUUGGUAAAACCCAGGUGGUAACCCCAAUCGCACCUUUGAGUCAGCAGGCUGGAUACUACUGUUCAGUAUGUGAGUGUGUUGUUAAAGAUUCAGCCAACUAUUUGGAUCAUAUAAAUGGCAAGAAGCAUCAGAGAGCAUUGGGCAUGUCUAUGCGUGUUGAAAGGGCGUCACUCGAACAGGUUCAAAAACGGUUUGAGGCACUUAAGAAGAGGAAGGACCCAGCCAGCUUCAGUGAACAAGAUUUGGAUGAGAGAAUAUGGAAGCAGCAGCAAGAGGAGGAGGAGAAGAAGCGUCAACGCAGAGAAAAGAAGAAAGAAAAGAAGAAAGAGCAGGCUGGCCAGAAUGAACCUGAGGACAUUGACCCUGAUGUUGCUGCUAUGAUGGGCUUCGGCGGGUUCGGCACCUCUUCAAAGAAGUGA